GAGAAAGAUACAUAUAUGUGCAAGAAAAUGAUAUAAAGUACGAGAAAAAUUCAACAACCGUCUCCAAAUUAUUCUAUCAAGACCAAUUUGAUACUCAAACUCUCAAACGUACUACUGUGAUACCUAAAGACUUAUAUUGACAUCGACGUGAUACCUCCAUCCAAAAUCCGUGACGGCUCUGUCUAUUUUCUGGCGUCGCAAGCAUGUGUCAGACAUGUGAUAUUUUUAUCAAGGGCAGAAUAGUCAUUUCACUACUAACUAAUUAAAAAAAAAAAAAAACCAUGAACAGAGCUCUUUCUCUCUCUCUCUCUCUCUCUCCCAACUCCCAUUCUUCUUCUUCUUCUUCUUCUUCUUCCCAACACUGCCUCCCACUCCAUCUCACAAUAUCUGAUCUCGCCAGAUGCAUCAUUUUGCUGGAAUUUAGCAUCCUCCUCUUCAAGAAUGGCCUUGGCUUUUCGAGCCAAGAAUGGCCUUGGCUUUUUGAGCUAGAACACCCAAAACCCGGAUUUUGCUGACGAAUCUUCAUACGAUGCGAAGUCCUGUAUAUUCAUCCAUUUAUUCAUACAUGUCAAAAAUAAAAUCAGAUCUGCAAAGAUUGAAUCAAUCAAGUAGUACUGCGAAUACUAUGGCAGAGUCACGUAUGGCUUGAGCAGCAAGAGACUAAGAAGCCGAAAAUGAAUUGGAAGAUUGCAGACGGGAAGUAGCUGGAUUGAUAUUGUCCAGUGUGCGAUGAACAACCCUGCACCUAAAACCCCAGGCCCGAUCUGCCCCUCCGCUUGAUCUUUCACCAAGCAAGUGACGUUGGUGGCUGGUGGCUGAGGUUGCUGGGAGCCAAGGCUGAACCAAAAAAGACGAUGAAGAAGGAGAAAGUUCAGAAAGUAAGCAAGAAGAAGGAUGCUGAUGCUCCCAAGCGUCUUGCUGAGGUCACCGGAGACGUUCCGGAUAUAUCAAUGAAUUCUCGACAAAAGCUCAGCGGAAUUCAUUUUGGGGUGGGUGGUUGGUGGCUGAUGACGUUGUCAGAUAAGUAAGGAAAUGUGGUGGCGGAGCUUGCGGCAGUUUGCCUAGAACAAAAUCCCAAAGAAGAAGAAGAAGAAAAAAAGAAAGAAAAAGAAAUGAAUUAACAAAAAAAAGGGGUGAAUUGGUCAUUUAACUUUUUUUUUUUGUCUCCACGUCAGCAAAUAGAUGGA
Long non-coding RNA from Rosa rugosa (rugosa rose), 1187 nucleotides. RefSeq lists it as uncharacterized. The record is from RefSeq and is a predicted model, not a curated record. NCBI's taxonomy places the organism in Eukaryota, Viridiplantae, Streptophyta, Magnoliopsida, Rosales, Rosaceae. The transcript has 2 exons.